AACGAACGCUGGCGGCAUGCCUAACACAUGCAAGUCGAACGAGACCUUCGGGUCUAGUGGCGCACGGGUGCGUAACGCGUGGGAACCUGCCCUUAGGUUCGGAAUAACUCCCCGAAAGGGGUGCUAAUACCGGAUAAUGUCUUCGGACCAAAGAUUUAUCGCCUUUGGAUGGGCCCGCGUUGGAUUAGCUAGUUGGUAGGGUAAAAGCCUACCAAGGCGACGAUCCAUAGCUGGUCUGAGAGGAUGAUCAGCCACACUGGGACUGAGACACGGCCCAGACUCCUACGGGAGGCAGCAGUGGGGAAUAUUGGACAAUGGGCGAAAGCCUGAUCCAGCAAUGCCGCGUGAGUGAUGAAGGCAUUAGGGUUGUAAAGCUCUUUUACCCGGGAUGAUAAUGACAGUACCGAGAGAAUAAGCUACGGCUAACUACGUG
RNAcentral lists this ribosomal RNA (433 nucleotides) under uncultured bacterium. RNAcentral describes it as "partial 16S ribosomal RNA". It matches the Rfam family "Bacterial small subunit ribosomal RNA", at positions 29 to 507 of the family's 1533-position model. The record is from RNAcentral.